RNAcentral lists this ribosomal RNA (383 nucleotides) under uncultured prokaryote. Its description in RNAcentral is "bacterial SSU rRNA". It matches the Rfam family "Archaeal small subunit ribosomal RNA", at positions 341 to 725 of the family's 1478-position model. The record is from RNAcentral.
GCGAAAACUUUACAAUGCUGGCAACAGCGAUAAGGGAACCUCGAGUGCCAGGUUACAAAUCUGGCUGUCGAGAUGCCUAAAAGCAUUUCAUAGCAAGGGCCGGGCAAGACCGGUGCCAGCCGCCGCGGUAACACCGGCGGCUCGAGUGGUAACCGUUAUUAUUGGGUCUAAAGGGUCUGUAGCCGGCCGGAUAAGUCUCUUGAGAAAUCUGGCAGCUUAACUGUCAGGCUUUCAGGAGAUACUGGCUGGCUCGAGGCCGGGAGAGGUGAGAGGUACUUCAGGGGUAGGGGUGAAAUCUUGUAAUCCUUGAAGGACCACCAGUGGCGAAGGCGUCUCACCAGAACGGACCUGACGGCAAGGGACGAAAGCUAGGGGCACGAACC